Molecule: ribosomal RNA, 279 nt
Filed under: uncultured bacterium
Lineage: Bacteria
Description: partial 16S ribosomal RNA
Rfam family: Bacterial small subunit ribosomal RNA
Source: RNAcentral
UGCCAGCCGCCGCGGUAAUACGGAGGGUGCAAGCGUUGUUCGGAAUUACCGGGCGUAAAGCGCGCGUAGGCGGUUUUGUAAGUCGGAUGUGAAAUCCCUGGGCUUAACCUGGGAACUGCAUUCGAUACUGCAUAACUAGAGUACGGUAGAGGGUAGUGGAAUUUCUUGUGUAGCGGUGAAAUGCGUAGAUAUAGGAAGGAACACCAGUGGCGAAGGCGACUACCUGGGCCAAUACUGACGCUGAGGCGCGAAAGCGUGGGUAGCAAACAGGAUUAGAUA